Molecule: ribosomal RNA, 497 nt
Filed under: uncultured bacterium
Lineage: Bacteria
Description: partial 16S ribosomal RNA
Rfam family: Bacterial small subunit ribosomal RNA
Source: RNAcentral
GAUGAACGCUGGCGGCGUGCCUAAUACAUGCAAGUCGAGCGAACAGACGAGGAGCUUGCUCCUCUGACGUUAGCGGCGGACGGGUGAGUAACACGUGGAUAACCUACCUAUAAGACGGGGAUAACUUCGGGAAACCGGAGCUAAUACCGGAUAAUAUAUUGAACCGCAUGGUUCAAUAGUGAAAGACGGUUUUGCUGUCACUUAUAGAUGGAUCCGCGCCGCAUUAGCUAGUUGGUAAGGUAACGGCUUACCAAGGCGACGAUGCGUAGCCGACCUGAGAGAGUGAUCGGCCCCACUGGAACUGGACCACGGUCCAGACUCCUACGGGAGGAAGCAGUAGGGAAUCUUCCGCAAUGGGCGAAAGCCUGACGGAGCAACGCCGCGUGGGUGAUGAGGGUCUUCGGUUCGUAAACCUCUGUUAUUAGGGAAGAACAAAUGUGUAUGUAACUACGCACGUCUUGACGGUACCUAAUCAGAAAGCCACGGCUAACUACGUG